This 253-nucleotide ribosomal RNA is filed under the name uncultured bacterium. Its description in RNAcentral is "partial 16S ribosomal RNA". It matches the Rfam family "Bacterial small subunit ribosomal RNA", at positions 524 to 776 of the family's 1533-position model. The record is from RNAcentral.
UACGUAGGGGGCGAGCGUUGUCCGGAUUUAUUGGGCGUAAAGAGCGUGUAGGCGGCUCGAUAAGUCCGCUGUGAAAGUCCAGGGCUCAACCCUGGGAUGCCGGUGGAUACUGUCGGGCUCGAGUCCGGAAGAGGCGAGUGGAAUUCCUGGUGUAGCGGUGAAAUGCGCAGAUAUCAGGAGGAACACCAAUGGCGAAGGCAGCUCGCUGGGACGUGACUGACGCUGAGACGCGAAAGCGUGGGGAGCAAACAGG